Molecule: ribosomal RNA, 484 nt
Filed under: uncultured bacterium
Lineage: Bacteria
Description: partial 16S ribosomal RNA
Rfam family: Bacterial small subunit ribosomal RNA
Source: RNAcentral
AUUGAACGCUGGCGGCAUGCUUUACACAUGCAAGUCGAACGGCAGCGCGGGCUUCGGCCUGGCGGCGAGUGGCGGACGGGUGAGUGAUGCAUCGGAACGUGCCCAGUCGUGGGGGAUAGGCCGGCGACAGGCGGAUUGAUACCGCAUACGACAUGAGGGUGAAAGGGGGGGACCGAAAGGCCUAGCGGUAUUUGAGCGGCCGAAGUCGGAGUAGCUAGUUGGUGGGGUAAAGUCUUACCAAGGCGACGAACCGUAGCUGGUCUGCGUGGACGACCAGCCACACUGGAACUGAGACACGGCCCAGACUCCUACGGGAGGCAGCAGUGGGGAAUUUUGGACAAUGGGGGCAACCCUGAUCCAGCCAUGCCGCGUGCGGGAAGAAGGCCUUCGGGUUGUAAACCGCUUUUGUUCGGGAAGAAAACCUGUGGGCUAAUACCCCGGGGGGAUGACGGUACCGGAAGAAUAAGCACCGGCUAACUACGUG